UUCUAUUGAAGACUAAUUUGGUACUACUAAAAGUGGAUUUUGAAGAAGGUACUUCAGGCCUUGAUCUGAGUAAUUACUCCGACUUGAUUAUCAGAUCACCAGAUCAGGAUGGGAAUGUGCUACAUCUACAAUAAAGCAAUUUCCAGGGCUCGGAAUGUCAACUUUGAAUGACACCACUAGUAGUAGGAAAAGAGAAGUUUUUGCAGAAGAAUCUUCAAGGGAUUUCAAUCUAACUCAGUGAUUCAGGGAUAUACAAUUACACAGUGAAUUGUAUCAAUGCUAAAUCCAUCCAGAAUCAACUGAAUCAAAGACAGAGAACUGUGGAGGUUUAUGGAUAUAAUUAUUGAGUUACUACCGCACCAAAUCAGUUUCGUGCAUUUAUAUCAGAACCUUAGGAUUGAACAGAAGAGUUUGUAACUGCUGAAUUUGAGGAAGCUCAAGUCGACGAAAGUUAACACUUUUGAAGAAUGUGAGGACAGAA
Molecule: long non-coding RNA, 481 nt
Filed under: Daucus carota (carrot)
Lineage: Eukaryota; Viridiplantae; Streptophyta; Magnoliopsida; Apiales; Apiaceae
Description: long non-coding RNA (DCAR_LNC006594)
Source: RNAcentral